Molecule: ribosomal RNA, 301 nt
Filed under: uncultured bacterium
Lineage: Bacteria
Description: partial 16S ribosomal RNA
Rfam family: Bacterial small subunit ribosomal RNA
Source: RNAcentral
CAGUAGCCGCGGUAAUACGUAGGUGGCAAGCGUUGUCCGGAAUUAUUGGGCGUAAAGCGAGCGCAGGCGGUUAGAUAAGUCUGAAGUUAAAGGCUGUGGCUUAACCAUAGUACGCUUUGGAAACUGUUUAACUUGAGUGCAAGAGGGGAGAGUGGAAUUCCAUGUGUAGCGGUGAAAUGCGUAGAUAUAUGGAGGAACACCGGUGGCGAAAGCGGCUCUCUGGCUUGUAACUGACGCUGAGGCUCGAAAGCGUGGGGAGCAAACAGGAUUAGAUACCCCUGUAGUCCCUGUCUCUUAUACA